AUUGUGGUUUUAAUUCGAAGCAACGCGAAGAACCUUACCAGGUCUUGACAUCCCGAUGCUAUUUCUAGAGAUAGAAAGUUACUUCGGUACAUCGGUGACAGGUGGUGCAUGGUUGUCGUCAGCUCGUGUCGUGAGAUGUUGGGUUAAGUCCCGCAACGAGCGCAACCCUUAUUCUUAGUUGCCAGCACUAACGGUGGGCACUCUAAGGAGACUGCCGGUGACAAACCGGAGGAAGGUGGGGAUGACGUCAAAUCAUCAUGCCCUUUAUGACCUGGGCUACAAACGUACUACAAUGGCCAAUACAAAGAGAUGCGAAGCGGUGACGUGGAGCGAACCUCAGAAAGUUGGUCUCAGUUCAGAUUGAAGUCUGCAACUCGACUUCAUGAAGGCGGAAUCGCUAGUAAUCGCGGGUCAGCAGACCGCGGUGAAUACGUUCCCGGGUUUU
Molecule: ribosomal RNA, 445 nt
Filed under: uncultured Streptococcus sp.
Lineage: Bacteria; Bacillati; Bacillota; Bacilli; Lactobacillales; Streptococcaceae
Description: bacterial SSU rRNA
Rfam family: Bacterial small subunit ribosomal RNA
Source: RNAcentral